This 253-nucleotide ribosomal RNA is filed under the name uncultured bacterium. Its description in RNAcentral is "partial 16S ribosomal RNA". It matches the Rfam family "Bacterial small subunit ribosomal RNA", at positions 524 to 776 of the family's 1533-position model. The record is from RNAcentral.
UACAGAGGUCUCAAGCGUUGUUCGGAUUCAUUGGGCGUAAAGGGUGCGUAGGUGCGCCGUAGUACGAGGUGUGAAAUUUCGGAGCUUAACUCCGAAACUGCAUUUGAUACUGCGGUGCUUGAGGACUGGAGAGGAGACUGGAAUUUACGGUGUAGCAGUGAAAUGCGUAGAGAUCGUAAGGAAGACCAGUGGCGAAGGCGGGUCUCUGGACAGUUCCUGACACUGAGGCACGAAGGCCAGGGGAGCAAACGGG